UACGAGGGGGGCGAGCGUUGUUCGGAUUCAUUGGGCGUAAAGGGUGCGUAGGCGGCGCGGUAAGUCGGGUGUGAAAUCUCGGGGCUUAACUCCGAAACUGCAUUCGAUACUGCCGUGCUUGAGGACUGGAGAGGAGACUGGAAUUUACGGUGUAGCGGUGAAAUGCGUAGAUAUCGUAAGGAAGACCAGUGGCGAAGGCGGGUCUCUGGACAGUUCCUGACGCUGAGGCACGAAGGCCAGGGGAGCAAACGGG
RNAcentral lists this ribosomal RNA (253 nucleotides) under uncultured bacterium. Its description in RNAcentral is "partial 16S ribosomal RNA". It matches the Rfam family "Bacterial small subunit ribosomal RNA", at positions 524 to 776 of the family's 1533-position model. The record is from RNAcentral.